UUUUAAAUUGCUGUAGUAUUUUGACUAUACAAAGGUAUUGAAAUAAGACUUUAAUUGAGUGCUAAGAGAAUGGAAUUACAGGAAAAAUCUUUUUUAAACUUAACAAUUAAAGUUAUUUUUACUUGUGAAGAAGCAGUAAUAAAAAUUAAGGACAAGAAGACCCUAAGAAUUUUUCGAUACAUAUUUCAAUAAAGAAAAUAUGUUUCUUUAAUUGGGGCGAUUAAUUAAUAUUA
Molecule: ribosomal RNA, 233 nt
Filed under: Amblyomma mixtum
Lineage: Eukaryota; Metazoa; Arthropoda; Arachnida; Ixodida; Ixodidae
Description: partial large subunit ribosomal RNA
Source: RNAcentral